UACGUAGGGGGCAAGCGUUAUCCGGAUUUACUGGGUGUAAAGGGGGCGCAGACGGCAGCGCAAGCCAGGAGUGAAAGCCCGGGGCCCAACCCCGGGACUGCUCUUGGAACUGCGCGGCUGGAGUGCAGGAGGGGCAGGCGGAAUUCCUGGUGUAGCGGUGAAAUGCGUAGAUAUCAGGAGGAACACCGGUGGCGAAGGCGGCCUGCUGGACUGCGACUGACGUUGAGGCCCGAAAGCGUGGGGAGCAAACA
Molecule: ribosomal RNA, 251 nt
Filed under: uncultured bacterium
Lineage: Bacteria
Description: partial 16S ribosomal RNA
Rfam family: Bacterial small subunit ribosomal RNA
Source: RNAcentral